AGAGUUUCAUCAUGGCUCAGAUUGAACGCUGGCGGCAGGCCUAACACAUGCAAGUCGAGCGGCAGUGGAAGGAAGCUUGCUUCCUUGCCGGCGAGCGGCGGACGGGUGAGUAAGGUAUGGGGAUCUGGCCGAAGGCGGGGGAUAACCACUGGAAACGGUGGCUAAUACCGCAUAAUCUCUAAGGAGCAAAGUGGGGGACCGUUCAGGCCUCACACCUUCGGAUGAACCCAUAUGAGAUUAGCUAGUAGGUGGGGUAAUGGCUCACCUAGGCGACGAUCUCUAGCUGGUCUGAGAGGAUGAUCAGCCACACUGGGACUGAGACACGGCCCAGACUCCUACGGGAGGCAGCAGUGGGGAAUAUUGCACAAUGGGCGCAAGCCUGAUUCAGCCAUGCCGCGUGUAUGAAGAAGGCCUUCGGGUUGUAAAGUACUUUCAGUCGUGAGGAAGGUGUUAAGGUUAAUAACCUUAGCAAUUGACGUUAGCGACAGAAGAAGCACCGGCUAACUCCGUGCCAGCAGCCGCGGUAAUACGGAGAGUGCGAGCGUUAAUCGGAAUUACUGGGCGUAAAGG
RNAcentral lists this ribosomal RNA (570 nucleotides) under Arsenophonus endosymbiont of Aphis citricidus. Its description in RNAcentral is "bacterial SSU rRNA". It matches the Rfam family "Bacterial small subunit ribosomal RNA", at positions 8 to 566 of the family's 1533-position model. The record is from RNAcentral. Lineage: Bacteria; Pseudomonadati; Pseudomonadota; Gammaproteobacteria; Enterobacterales; Morganellaceae.